AACGAACGCUGGCGGCAUGCCUAACACAUGCAAGUCGAACGAGACCUUCGGGUCUAGUGGCGCACGGGUGCGUAACGCGUGGGAACCUGCCCUUAGGUUCGGAAUAACUCAGAGAAAUUUGAGCUAAUGCCGGAUAAUGUCUUCGGACCAAAGAUUUAUCGCCUUUGGAUGGGCCCGCGUAGGAUUAGCUUGUUGGUGGGGUAAUGGCCUACCAAGGCGACGAUCCUUAGCUGGUCUGAGAGGAUGAUCAGCCACACUGGGACUGAGACACGGCCCAGACUCCUACGGGAGGCAGCAGUGGGGAAUAUUGGACAAUGGGCGAAAGCCUGAUCCAGCAAUGCCGCGUGAGUGAUGAAGGCCUUAGGGUUGUAAAGCUCUUUUACCAGGGAUGAUAAUGACAGUACCUGGAGAAUAAGCUCCGGCUAACUCCGUG
RNAcentral lists this ribosomal RNA (433 nucleotides) under uncultured bacterium. Its description in RNAcentral is "partial 16S ribosomal RNA". It matches the Rfam family "Bacterial small subunit ribosomal RNA", at positions 29 to 507 of the family's 1533-position model. The record is from RNAcentral.